This is a long non-coding RNA of Betta splendens (Siamese fighting fish), 652 nucleotides long. RefSeq lists it as uncharacterized. Lineage: Eukaryota; Metazoa; Chordata; Actinopteri; Anabantiformes; Osphronemidae. The record is from RefSeq and is a predicted model, not a curated record. The transcript is spliced from 3 exons.
GGAACGGAGCGAGAGCCGAGCAUCAGAAGCAAGUCAGCUGUUCCUCCAUCAAAGCCUGGAGCCAGGCCAAGUCGGGCAUCCCAGACCAAGCAGGUUCCCUCUGCUCCGUCCCAGCAGGCCUUGGCUCCGUAUCAAGAGACUGUGGUCACAAAGACAAAGCACAGAAGAGACAGAGAAGCUGGACCGCUGCCGCACCUUGUAUCCAUUUAAUGAAGCAAGAAAAACCUGGAUGCAGUUCAACCAUCACCCCCCACACACACACACACACACACACACACACACACGCACACGCUAACCCAAGCUGAGGCAGACCGCCGGCAUAUUGAGCACGUCUUUGGUAUUCAUCCUAACAACUUCCCACCUACUGCACAAACAGAAACCCCAACGCGGCGAACAGCUGCCAGUCUGUCCGAAAACAAUGUGACUGUUGCUGGUUUCAGCCUGGAUGUUGGGUCUGGUGUCUGCAGACGGAGGCGUGAGACGACAACAAGCACAAGAACAACUAAGAUGGAGGUUAACUUCCUCAGUGCCCUUGGGCGCUGGUGAGUGGCCCAUCUGAGCCCUGUCUUCAGAUGGUGUGGAGAGACUGUCACUGAAAGAGCGUAAGGGAGGAGAGCGGCUGUUGCUGGAAGUGUGAGACGGAGAAGAGCUG